Molecule: ribosomal RNA, 253 nt
Filed under: uncultured prokaryote
Description: partial 16S ribosomal RNA
Rfam family: Bacterial small subunit ribosomal RNA
Source: RNAcentral
UGCGGAGGGUGCAAGCGUUGCUCGGAAUUACUGGGCGUAAAGGGCUCGUAGGUGGCCAACUAAGUCAGACGUGAAAUCCCUCGGCUUAACCGGGGAACUGCGUCUGAUACUGGAUGGCUUGAGGUUGGGAGAGGUAAGCGGAAUUCCUGGUGUAGCGGUGAAAUGCGUAGAUAUCAGGAGGAACACCUGUGGUGUAGACAGCUUACUGGACCACUUCUGACGCUGAGACACGAAAGCGUGGGUAGCAAACAGG